This 2852-nucleotide long non-coding RNA is filed under the name Lathyrus oleraceus (garden pea). Its description in RNAcentral is "Pisum sativum (pea) long non-coding RNA (PSAT_LNC030557)". Lineage: Eukaryota; Viridiplantae; Streptophyta; Magnoliopsida; Fabales; Fabaceae. The record is from RNAcentral.
AACAAUAUUGUAGAAAUACAAUUCAUUCAUCCCAUAGAACAAUUCAAUUCCAUUUCAUUGUACAAUUACAUUAACAAAUUGUAGAUUAAUACACUUAAAGCAACAAAAAAUGAAUUUCUCCAAAAUGUCUUCCACUUCAUUGUGUUAUUGAGAGCCUCCUCAAGUUCUUCAAUCAAUCCUUCAGAUUUAAGCAAUUUCUGAUGUUGAUCUUCAUUCUCUUUUUCUAAGAUUUCCAACAUCUUUUUUUUUUAUUCUUGAUAAACAUGUCUCUGUCAUCUUUCACUUCAGCACAAAACCAACCAAAAUAAUCACAUCCAUUACUUAUAUUCCCCUGCACAGGUUACAUAUAACAUUACUCACUGUAUAAAAUCGAAAUUGCAAACUUAACAAGAUAGAUCAUACCUUAUAAUGUGGACAUCCACAAAAUUGCUUCCCAAUUUUUUUUACUGUUUUUUCCCUUCUGAGUAUAGAAAAACACCACACCAAUAGUUAGGUCUCCAUUGAUUUUUUGAAGAAGAAGAAUUAAACCCAGAUUUGAAACUGUAACUCACUUCUCCACCGUACUCAGACCCCUUUUACAAUGGAGCAGAAUUUUUAUGAGCCAUUAUUCUUCACAAUAGAUGUUGCAGCAUGAACAAUAGAUUACAUAAGAAGAUGAAGGAAAAAUGCACGAAACCCUAAUUCACAUGAAGAAGAUGGUGUGUGUUGCUGAGCAUAUCUUUAUAGAAGAAGAUAUCCUACGUGGAGCUGACAUGGAAGCUAACACUUUCACGUUUAAUAGUGUUAGUGUGUUUUGUCUGCAAAGGAUAGACGUGGUACAUUUAAUAUAGUUAUGGGACGAGAAUGAGCCUUUUAAAAAUUAAGGGACCAAAAUGAACCCCCACGCUAAACAUAUGGGACGAAAAAGGCUAUUUUGCCUUAAAUAAUCUAUUCAUUUGGUUAAACCCAAAACUGGGGGGUAUGACACACAUAUUUAACUAUAAAAUGAUUUGUUCACUAAAAUUUAGUCUAAACUUAACUCAUAUACAGUCGCUCCAUACUUGUAAACAUUUUUAUUUAGGAUGGAUUGCAAAACAGAAAAAUAAUUUAGUUUUGUCUUGUUACUUUCUAACACCAACCUUGAACAAAACAUUUUUUUAUUCUUGCAAUGUAUCUCACAUAAUGUAUCUCCGGAUUUAAAAAAUAAAUUUAAACAGAUUUGUUUCUGCAAUGUAUUUUCUAAAGUAUUUUUUCUAACAUUAGAGAUAUGUUCUUGCAAUGUAUCUCACACAAUGUAUCUCAGGAGUUUUUAAAAUUUCGGUAGUUCAUAUUCAAUACAAAAAAAAUUUAACACUACCCAAAAUUUUGAAAAGUGUUGUAGUUUACCGGAAAUUUCGAAAAAUGUUGUAGUUUAUCGGAAAUUUCUGGUAGUGUAAAAAAAUUUGAUUUUUGAUUUUUUUUUUAAAUUCUGAUAUUUCUUCAAAAAAAUUUCCUAAAAUAUUUAUUUUUUUACCAAAAAUUUUGGAAAAUCCUGGUAUUUUUUUCAAAAUUUUAGGUAAGCGUAAUAGAAAACUCCAAAAAAAUCUUUUUAUAAGGGCAUAAAGGUAAUAGCACCACUAUAUGGGGGGUCAGGUUUAAUUGAUUGAGGUGACAAGUUAAAUGCUCUAGGAACAAUAUCCCCCAAGCCUUAGCUUAUGUAGUUAGGUAGUGGCUUGAAUCUAGUAUCUCAUUGGGGUCAUCGACUCUGAUCAUGAUUUUUUUGUCUCCGAUUUUAUUGACACCCUAUCAUUUAUAAGAACUAGUCAUCAACCAAGAUUUAAUUUUAUCUUCCCUUUCCCAAUGAGUAGUCCUUGAUUCGAGAUGGAUGUGGCGUCAUUACCCAUAAACUUUGACGGUUAGUUGAGAAGUGGGUGUAUUGUGUGGAUGUUGGUACUCUCACUCAAUAAAGCUUAAGCGCUCAGAAGGGGGUUCGACUUGUUGAAAGUCGGGGCCAUGACUCUCACUCGACUAAGCAUAAAAGCUUGGAGGUAGAAAUUCGACUUGCAAUCCUUCAUAAUAGAAAUCUAUUCUAAUUUUAAAUGAAACUUUUAUUUCAUAAGUAUAUAAGUCUAUUUGUUAUCAAGGAGCUAAGUUGUAUGAUUUUUUUAUUGGUUAUUUGGGUUGGUCAUGAACCCAUUUUGGUGGAUUUUGUGACUCUUUGUAUAUGCAUAAAGGCCUUGAUAAACGAUCAUUUUUUUUCCAUUUUCUUGUUACAACAAAAAUAAAUGUAGUGUGACAACAUUGUAUGUUAGCGCUUUACAGAACUAUAAGUUUUUUUAACCAAAAUAUAUUAAAUUAUUCCAGUUUUUGGAAUAGUAAAUGGUAAGGUCCUCUUCAUUAAAAAUGAGAGUCACCUCCUCCAUCGUGCCGGAGGUCACCUUCGGCGGCGGUGGAGGGCCAAUCUGAGAAAUUUACACACCUUUCAGUUCAUCUCUACAUGCUCUAAUCAAAUCCAAAACUAAUUUCACCAAAUUCGAACUCUAAAGUCCUAACCGAAUCAGUUUUCUCCAAGAACCCUAAACACAAAUUGUUAAAUUAAAUCACCACCCCAUGAAAUCAAAGUCCAAGGUGUUAGGGCGUUGAUUCCCUACAACUCAACUCACAUCUCCGUAACUGGUUUGAAGCAAAAUGAUGGAAUCAAGGACUUACCCUGCCAGAGAAGAUGAAGAUGUCAGCAAAAUUUCCAGGUAACGGUUCUUGUUCCGAAUUUCUUCCUUACUUUUGAAUUCCAAAUCUUCUCCUUCUAAUUAUUCUUGUUGCUUUUGGUUCUGAGGGUUGACAGAUUCAGAGAGAGUGUGAUGGUUCUAUGAGUGGAAUCGAGAGUUCUCAUAAAU